UGCGUAGGCGGUGAGGUAAGUCGGAUGUGAAAGCUCCGAGCUCAACUCGGAAAUGGCAUUGGAAACUACCUUGCUAGAGGGUUUGAGGGGGGACUGGAAUACUUGGUGUAGCAGUGAAAUGCGUAGAUAUCAAGUAGAACACCAGUGGCGAAGGCGAGUCCCUGGAAAACUCCUGACACUGAGGCACGAAAGCUGGGAGCAAACA
This 205-nucleotide ribosomal RNA is filed under the name uncultured bacterium. RNAcentral's name for it is "partial 16S ribosomal RNA". It matches the Rfam family "Bacterial small subunit ribosomal RNA", at positions 568 to 774 of the family's 1533-position model. The record is from RNAcentral.